RNAcentral lists this ribosomal RNA (511 nucleotides) under uncultured bacterium. Its description in RNAcentral is "bacterial SSU rRNA". It matches the Rfam family "Bacterial small subunit ribosomal RNA", at positions 16 to 518 of the family's 1533-position model. The record is from RNAcentral.
AUCCUGGCUCAGGAUGAACGCUAGCGAUAGGCUUAACACAUGCAAGUCGAGGGGCAGCACGGUGUAGCAAUACACUGGUGGCGACCGGCGUACGGGUGCGUAACACGUAUGCAACCUACCCGCUAGUUGGGGGAUAACCCGGCGAAAGUCGGACUAAUAUCCCAUAUUAUUCUUACCGGGCAUCCGGUGAGCCUGAAAGAUUUAUCGAUUGCGGAUGGGCAUGCGGAUGAUUAGCUAGUAGGUGGGGUAACGGCUCACCUAGGCGACGAUCAUUAGGGGUUCUGAGAGGAAGGUCCCCCACACUGGAACUGAGACACGGUCCAGACUCCUACGGGAGGCAGCAGUGAGGAAUAUUGGUCAAUGGGCGCUAGCCUGAACCAGCCAAGUCGCGUGAAGGAUGACAAGAUCUAUGGUUUGUAAACUUCUUUUGCAGGGGAGUAAAGUGCGACACGUGUGUUGUAUUGCAAGUACCCUGCGAAUAAGCAUCGGCUAACUCCGUGCCAGCCGCUGC